RNAcentral lists this ribosomal RNA (393 nucleotides) under uncultured bacterium. RNAcentral's name for it is "bacterial SSU rRNA". It matches the Rfam family "Bacterial small subunit ribosomal RNA", at positions 521 to 916 of the family's 1533-position model. The record is from RNAcentral.
UAAUACGGAGGGUGCAAGCGUUAUCCGGAUUCACUGGGUUUAAAGGGUGCGUAGGUGGGCAGGUAAGUCAGUGGUGAAAUCUCCGGGCUUAACCCGGAAACUGCCGUUGAUACUAUUUGUCUUGAAUAUUGUGGAGGUAAGCGGAAUAUGUCAUGUAGCGGUGAAAUGCUUAGAUAUGACAUAGAACACCAAUUGCGAAGGCAGCUUACUACACAAUCAUUGACGCUGAGGCACGAAAGCGUGGGGAUCAAACAGGAUUAGAUACCCUGGUAGUCCACGCCCUAAACGAUGAUUACUCGACGUGUGCGAUACACUGUACGCGUCUGAGCGAAAGCAUUAAGUAAUCCACCUGGGAAGUACGUUCGCAAGAAUGAAACUUAAAUGAAUUGACGG